AGAACGUUUUUUUUCACAUUUGUUUUAUGAAAACACUCCGAAUGCCGUUGCUAAAGAUCAUUACUAAAUAAAUAACUAAAUAAAAAUGAAAAACUUCGAUCAUCUCGUGUUGAAGGCGAACCAAAAGAAAUGGGUAGGUUCAACAUCAUCUCGUGUUCAUGGCUGUGUCGUUCCCAUCGUCGAAGCCCAUCCCCGCCGCGCAUCGGUCAUCUAUCUUCAACGCCGUUUCUGAGCCACCGCGACACCACCAACCCUCGCCGGUGUUGAAAGCGAACCCAAACUCCGACUGGCAACGGUGAGAGCGACUGGAGACGGUGGCCACAAAAUCGACGCUGGUCAUGACCUAAUCGAUGCACUCACGCAUCAAAUCUCGAAGCUCCAUUCUUCUUCUCGAAGCUCCAUAAUCGCUGCCUCUGCGAUGAUGAAAUCGGAAGGAUUCGGUUUCAAAGAACUUUGGUUUUCGGAAGAAGAGUGAUUGAUUCGUUUUGUGUCGACUUAAUUUUGAUUUUGUUCAUUUUCAGGUUGUUCUGUAUGGAGAUCUCUCUCGCGCCCUUGUGAUCCUCCUUCCUCUGCUCUUCAUCUAUGGCGGUGUCUGCUUCUACCUCCCUGGCUUAGUGCCGCAAGAUUUCCAAAAGGUUAUGUGAGGGUGGAGAACUGCCGAAUCAGAUAUUGGCCUAGUGUGGGCCUAUAAAUUGCUAAUUGAGAAUGACAAUAGUGAGAAAGGGAGCAGAAACAGAAGCAGAUAAAAUAGUAGAUGGGUUGUAAUGGGAGCAGAAGCAGACAGAUAUAAAUUGGGGUGCCAAUUCCAAAAAUCAGUGGCUUUUUAUUUUAAUGCUCUCACUUAUUCCUUUUCCUUGUGAAAUUACUUGAAACUUGUACUGCAAAAUUGGGCUACUUAAAGAAAUAAAUAUAUAACAUGUUUUAAACUUGGGGUUUGCAGGAUGUGGGAACCACCUGAAUCUAAUGGGAUGCUUUCAAAAACGCUAGCAUGAACAAGAACUGCGAGUAGUCUCAGGGAAUCUGUUUCCUUGGCUACAUUUUCUUUCUAUAAAGUUUUUUCCUCCUUCGAUCAAUAGUUAAUAAUUUUGCAUAAUAUGUGUUAAAUUCUUACCCUCCUUGCCCUGCUUAUUUUAUUAUUUACUUUCAUCUUUUCCUGUUAUACAUUGGUGGUUACUAAUGAUGCAUGCUAUUUUCUCUUUCAGGUAAACAGAAUCAUGGAACUCCCAGAAGAUAGUAAGGCAGUAGCCAAGCACACAAAUAGUCCCAAUCAUCAGGCAUUUGAAUGAAGAUGUGCUUCUUUCAGAGGCUGUGCAGGAUUUGGUGUCCAAGGACACUGCCAAUAGUUCUUCUUAACUCAAAAAAGGGCUGGAGUCAAGUUUUCCUUCUUCAAGAUUGCUUGUCUGGUAGCAUAAUGAUGAUGGCAAGAUGAUGCUACACUUUGAUGGUGGAAUUUGUUGGUUUGAAUGCUGUUUUAAUUUGGCCAAAAAUAUUGUCGAUCAUUAGAACAAUUUGCAUCUUGUAGUUUGGAUCUUUAGUUUAUUAAUUUGGAUUCUAAUGUAUUAAUGUUGAUGGAUUAUUACGUGGAUUCAAAGAUGAUAAUGAUUGACAGUAUCUUUUUUGUA
Molecule: long non-coding RNA, 1622 nt
Organism: Lotus japonicus
Lineage: Eukaryota; Viridiplantae; Streptophyta; Magnoliopsida; Fabales; Fabaceae
Exons: 6
Source: RefSeq, a predicted model, not a curated record